RNAcentral lists this ribosomal RNA (495 nucleotides) under uncultured bacterium. RNAcentral's name for it is "partial 16S ribosomal RNA". It matches the Rfam family "Bacterial small subunit ribosomal RNA", at positions 28 to 507 of the family's 1533-position model. The record is from RNAcentral.
GACGAACGCUGGCGGCGUGCCUAAUACAUGCAAGUAGAACGCUGAAGGAGGAUCUUGCUUCUCUGGAUGAGUUGCGAACGGGUGAGUAACGCGUAUGUAACCUGCCUGGUAGCGGGGGAUAACUAUUGGAAACGAUAGCUAAUACCGCAUAAGAGUAGAUGUUGCAUGACAUUUGCUUAAAAGGUGCAAUUGCAUCACUACCAGAUGGACCUGCGUUGUAUUAGCUAGUUGGUGGGGGAACGGCUCACCAAGGCGACGAUACAUAGCCGACCUGAGAGGGGGGUGGGCGAAAGUGGAAAUGAGGAAAGGCCCAGACUCCAAAGGGAGGCAGCAGGAGGGAAUCUUCGGCAAUGGACGGAAGUCUGACCGAGCAAAGACGCGUGAGUGAAGAAGGUUUUCGGAUCGUAAAGCUCUGUUGUAAGAGAAGAACGAGUGUGAGAGUGGAAAGUUCACACUGUGACGGUAGCUUACCAGAAAGGGACGGCUAACUACGUG